AUGUUAGCGGCGGACGGGUGAGUAACACGUGGGUAACCUGCCUGUAAGACUGGGAUAACUCCGGGAAACCGGGGCUAAUACCGGAUGGUUGUUUGAACCGCAUGGUUCAGACAUAAAAGGUGGCUUCGGCUACCACUUACAGAUGGACCCGCGGCGCAUUAGCUAGUUGGUGAGGUAACGGCUCACCAAGGCGACGAUGCGUAGCCGACCUGAGAGGGUGAUCGGCCACACUGGGACUGAGACACGGCCCAGACUCCUACGGGAGGCAGCAGUAGGGAAUCUUCCGCAAUGGACGAAAGUCUGACGGAGCAACGCCGCGUGAGUGAUGAAGGUUUUCGGAUCGUAAAGCUCUGUUGUUAGGGAAGAACAAGUGCCGUUCAAAUAGGGCGGCACCUUGACGGUACCUAACCAGAAAGCCACGGCUAACUACGUGCCAGCAGCCGCGGUAAUACGUAGGUGGCAAGCGUUGUCCGGAAUUAUUGGGCGUAAAGGGCUCGCAGGCGGUUUCUUAAGUCUGAUGUGAAAGCCCCCGGCUCAACCGGGGAGGGUCAUUGGAAACUGGGGAACUUGAGUGCAGAAGAGGAGAGUGGAAUUCCACGUGUAGCGGUGAAAUGCGUAGAGAUGUGGAGGAACACCAGUGGCGAAGGCGACUCUCUGGUCUGUAACUGACGCUGAGGAGCGAAAGCGUGGGGAGCGAACAGGAUUAGAUACCCUGGUAGUCCACGCCGUAAACGAUGAGUGCUAAGUGUUAAGGGGGUUUCCGCCCCUUAGUGCUGCAGCUAACGCAUUAAGCACUCCGCCUGGGGAGUACGGUCGCAAGACUGAAACUCAAAGGAAUUGACGGGGGCCCGCACAAGCGGUGGAGCAUGUGGGUUUAAUUCGAAGCAACGCGGAAGAACCUUACCAGGGUCUUGACAUCCUCUGACAAUCCUAGAGAUAGGACGUCCCCUUCGGGGGCAGAGUGACAGGUGGUGCAUGGUUGUCGUCAGCUCGUGUCGUGAGAUGUUGGGUUAAGUCCCGCAACGAGCGCAACCCUUGAUCUUAGUUGCCAGCAUUCAGUUGGGCACUCUAAGGUGACUGCCGGUGACAAACCGGAGGAAGGUGGGGAUGACGUCAAAUCAUCAUGCCCCUUAUGACCUGGGCUACACACGUGCUACAAUGGACAGAACAAAGGGCAGCGAAACCGCGAGGUUAAGCCAAUCCCACAAAUCUGUUCUCAGUUCGGAUCGCAGUCUGCAACUCGACUGCGUGAAGCUGGAAUCGCUAGUAAUCGCGGAUCAGCAUGCCGCGGUGAAUACGUUCCCGGGCCUUGUACACACCGCCCGUCACACCAC
RNAcentral lists this ribosomal RNA (1334 nucleotides) under Bacillus siamensis. RNAcentral's name for it is "bacterial SSU rRNA". It matches the Rfam family "Bacterial small subunit ribosomal RNA", at positions 89 to 1405 of the family's 1533-position model. Lineage: Bacteria; Bacillati; Bacillota; Bacilli; Caryophanales; Bacillaceae. The record is from RNAcentral.